AUGCUUGGUACGGUGUAGCUAGCGCGGGGGCCGGGCCGGUGGGACGGGCUCUGGGCUUCACUUGGCUGUCCUGGAGCAGCUUCUCCCUCUUGCGGUCGCAGGCGAGGCGGAGCCGUGUUUCCACACUCAGAACCGCAUAACAAGAGAAAAACAAUUUUGUUUGGCUGGACAACAUGGAAGAAUGAAUAAAAGGAGAGAAUAAGCUGCAAAUCCAAAGCCUUCAGGAGAGAGAGAGCAUGACUGAAAGGAAUAGAGAAUGGAACUGAUAGAUGAAAUGUCAUGUCAUAAAGAAAACAAGCAUUUUCCUUGUAAGGACGUAUCAACCACCAGCAAAGUGCUGAGAGCUUCCAAAUCUGUACCAUUAGUGCAGAUAUCUUUUCUGGGAUUCAGGACUGCCUAAACCCCACAUCUAGCUUUCAGUGAUCCAUCUGCUUAACUCCAUUUGUCUUGCUGUUAGCUUUCCUCAUGACUUGGACCAAACUCUGGGAGAGCAAUGGCAUUCACUUUGCCUAAUAGAAUUGUGAAUAGACUCUUUAAUAUUCCAGGCACUUUCAGUUAUUAGAACUGUUCUAUUUCAGCCUUUAACAUCUCAGUCUUGUAUAUUUUAAGACUUCCCUCUCAAACUCUAUUCAAAGCUCUCUCUUUUCUUAAAAGCACAGCUAGGACUAUCUGGUUGGUCUUCAGUAACUUAGAACAAAGUUUCCACAUCGAACUUCCUCUUCUAGGUACUAGCUCCUCUCUUAGGUUCUGGUGGAGAGGAGGGAGUGGGGAAAAAACCCAAGCCUUUACUUAUUGAAUUGAGAGUGGAAGCAAUUACUUGUAAUUGGUAAGAGGUUUCUCUGGCUGCCAUUGGUCGUUUCUGUCAUGGGUUGUAGAGGACCCUGAUGAUUCUUUGACAUGGGAGAUAAGCUCUGGUUUAUUAUUUCCAUUUCCUGUACCCUUAGCUUCUGGCUUGAUAGCAUCUUACUGCUGGGGUGUCUCUUGGGAGAAGUUCCUGCAAAGAGAGGCUGAAACUCAACUCCUUUUGAGGUGUCUACUUGGCUCGGCCUUAACACUAUGAGUGCCGUUUCAUUGCUUCAUCUUUUAGCCUUGUCUUCUUUCUCUCUUCCCAGCUAAUGGUUACCCAGUGGUAGAGUCUGUUGGUUCCCAACUGGGAACAAAAUGUUUUUCUCCUUUUUUGGUAGGAGUUUUUACUAUUGUAAAAGGGAUUUUUAUGAAGCUGCCCGUUCCCAGUGGAUUUCGGAAGGAGAAGCAUUCAUGUAGAUGUAUUGGGAAAGGAAAAGAAAGUUAUCUUCUCCUUGGAUACUGCACGCAAUUCACUCUCUCCUCCCCAUCUUUUAUGUGUUUUCACUGUUAGAGAAGAUGAUCAUUGAGUGUGGUAGAGAAGAGUUUGGAUUCUUGCCUCCCAUUCGGCCUUGAAGAUAUGUGUGAGCCCAAGUGCUGAUGAAUUUCUGAGCUUAUAAUGUAAGAACUUUGUAUGUUUUGUGUAUGAUUUUGAGCCUUUGCUGUAAUUCUUAGAACACAGAACAAAAUCUCAAACAAACCUCCUGUUAUACUCCACUAAAUUUAAA
Long non-coding RNA from Lutra lutra (Eurasian river otter), 1571 nucleotides. RefSeq lists it as uncharacterized. The record is from RefSeq and is a predicted model, not a curated record. Lineage: Eukaryota; Metazoa; Chordata; Mammalia; Carnivora; Mustelidae. The transcript has 4 exons.